RNAcentral lists this ribosomal RNA (450 nucleotides) under uncultured bacterium. Its description in RNAcentral is "partial 16S ribosomal RNA". It matches the Rfam family "Bacterial small subunit ribosomal RNA", at positions 354 to 796 of the family's 1533-position model. The record is from RNAcentral.
GUGGGGAAUCUUCCGCAAUGGACGAAAGUCUGGCGGAGCGACGCCGCGUGAGUGAAGAAGGCCUUCGGGUCGUAAAGCUCUGUCAUCAGGGACGAACGGCCGGUGGAGUGGAAAGCCACCGGAUUGACGGUACCUGAGAAGGAAGCCACGGCUAACUACGUGCCAGCAGCCGCGGUAAUACGUAGGUGGCAAGCGUUGUCCGGAAUUAUUGGGCGUAAAGCGCGCGCAGGUGGGAUCUUAAGUCCAUUUUGAAAGUUCGGAGCUCAACUCCGUGAUGGGAUGGAAACUGGGAUUCUUGAGUACCGGAGAGGAAAGCGGAAUUCCCCGUGUAGCGGUGAAAUGCGUAGAUAUGGGGAGGAACACCAGUGGCGAAGGCGGCUUUCUGGACGGUGUCUGACACUGAGGCGCGAAAGCUAGGGGAGCGAACGGGAUUAGAUACCCUGGUAGUCC